GCUUACGGCCAUACCAACUUGAGAAUGCCCGAUCUCGUCUGAUCUCGGAAGCCAAGCAAGUGAGGGCCUGGUUAGUACUUGGAUGGGAGACCGCCUGGGAAUCCCAGGUGCUGUAAGCGUUU
Molecule: ribosomal RNA, 122 nt
Filed under: Boleophthalmus pectinirostris (great blue-spotted mudskipper)
Lineage: Eukaryota; Metazoa; Chordata; Actinopteri; Gobiiformes; Gobiidae
Source: RNAcentral